RNAcentral lists this ribosomal RNA (253 nucleotides) under uncultured bacterium. Its description in RNAcentral is "partial 16S ribosomal RNA". It matches the Rfam family "Bacterial small subunit ribosomal RNA", at positions 524 to 776 of the family's 1533-position model. The record is from RNAcentral.
UACAGAGGGGGCAAGCGUUGUUCGGAAUUACUGGGCGUAAAGGGCGCGUAGGCGGCCUGUUAAGUCGAACGUGAAAUCCCCGGGCUCAACCCGGGAACUGCGUCCGAUACUGGCAGGCUUGAAUCCGGGAGAGGGAUGCGGAGUUCCAGGUGUAGCGGUGAAAUGCGUAGAUAUCUGGAGGAACACCGGUGGCGAAGGCGGCAUCCUGGACCGGUAUUGACGCUGAGGCGCGAAAGCCAGGGGAGCAAACGGG